Molecule: long non-coding RNA, 231 nt
Organism: Neogale vison (American mink)
Lineage: Eukaryota; Metazoa; Chordata; Mammalia; Carnivora; Mustelidae
Exons: 3
Source: RefSeq, a predicted model, not a curated record
UUCCGGGCCAAGUCCAAGGGACGUAGGAGAGCGGGAAUGGUCGGCCGCCGUGCUCGGUUGUGGAGCGUGGCUCUUAGUCCCCAAGGCGCGUACUCAUCAUGUCUUUCACAGAACAGAACAUUCUGACUUCGAUGAAGUGCAGUUUAUCAAUUCUUCCUUUCAUAGUGUUGUAUCGAAAAGUCACUUCCUUGCGCAAGAGAGAGAAACAGCAAGAGAGGGAACACAAGCAGG